GAUGAACGCUGACAGAAUGCUUAACACAUGCAAGUCAUUGGCGAAGCUGCGCUUGCGCAGUCUAGCCAAGGCGGACGGGUGAGUAACGCGUAAGGAACUUGCCCUGCAGACAGGGAUAACAGACGGAAACGACUGAUAACACCUGGUAUUGUCAGGCUGGCGCAUGCCGGCCUGAUGAAAGGAGACGCUGCAGGAGAGCCUUGCGUCCUAUUAGCUAGUUGGUGGGGUAACGGCCCACCAAGGCGAUGAUAGGUAGCCGGCCUGAGAGGGUGAACGGCCACAAGGGGACUGAGAUACGGCCCUUACUCCUACGGGAGGCAGUAGUGGGGAAUAUUGGACAAUGGGGGCAACCCUGAUCCAGCAAUUCUGUGUGCACGAAGAAGGUUUUCGGAUUGUAAAGUGCUUUCAGCAGGGAAGAAGAAAGUGACGGUACCUGCAGAAGAAGCGACGGCUAAAUACGUG
This 462-nucleotide ribosomal RNA is filed under the name uncultured bacterium. RNAcentral describes it as "partial 16S ribosomal RNA". It matches the Rfam family "Bacterial small subunit ribosomal RNA", at positions 28 to 507 of the family's 1533-position model. The record is from RNAcentral.